UAGCUACGGGAGGCAGCAGUAGGGAAUCUUCGGCAAUGGACGAAAGUCUGACCGAGCAACGCCGCGUGAGUGAAGAAGGUUUUCGGAUCGUAAAGCUCUGUUGUAAGAGAAGAACGAGUGUGAGAGUGGAAAGUUCACACUGUGACGGUAUCUUACCAGAAAGGGACGGCUAACUACGUGCCAGCAGCCGCGGUAAUGCUA
Molecule: ribosomal RNA, 201 nt
Filed under: uncultured bacterium
Lineage: Bacteria
Description: partial 16S ribosomal RNA
Rfam family: Bacterial small subunit ribosomal RNA
Source: RNAcentral